UACGUAGGUGGCAAGCGUUGUCCGGAUUUACUGGGCGUAAAGAGCGCGCAGGCGGUCGUACAAGUCGCGUGUGAAAGACCCCGGCUCAACUGGGGAGGGUCGUGCGAUACGGGCGAACUGGAGGCCAGUAGGGGGAUGCGGAAUUCCGGGUGUAGUGGUGGAAUGCGUAGAGAUCCGGAGGAACACCAGCGGCGAAGGCGGCAUCCUGGACUGGUCCUGACACUCAUGAGCGAAAGCGUGGGGAGCGAUCCGG
Molecule: ribosomal RNA, 253 nt
Filed under: uncultured bacterium
Lineage: Bacteria
Description: partial 16S ribosomal RNA
Rfam family: Bacterial small subunit ribosomal RNA
Source: RNAcentral